RNAcentral lists this ribosomal RNA (454 nucleotides) under uncultured bacterium. RNAcentral's name for it is "bacterial SSU rRNA". It matches the Rfam family "Bacterial small subunit ribosomal RNA", at positions 41 to 507 of the family's 1533-position model. The record is from RNAcentral.
GGCGUGCUUAACACAUGCAAGUCGAACGGACUUUAAUGAAACCUAGUGAUUUAAAAGUUAGUGGCGGACGGGUGAGUAACGCGUGGGUAACCUGCCGUAUGCUGGGGGACAACAGUUAGAAAUGACUGCUAAUACCGCAUAAGCGCACAGUAUCGCAUGAUACAGUGUGAAAAACUCCGGUGGCAUACGAUGGACCCGCGUCUGAUUAGCUAGUUGGUGAGGUAACGGCUCACCAAGGCGACGAUCAGUAGCCGGCCUGAGAGGGUGAACGGCCACAUUGGGACUGAGACACGGCCCAAACUCCUACGGGAGGCAGCAGUGGGGAAUAUUGCACAAUGGGGGAAACCCUGAUGCAGCGACGCCGCGUGAGUGAAGAAGUAUUUCGGUAUGUAAAGCUCUAUCAGCAGGGAAGAAAAUGACGGUACCUGACUAAGAAGCCCCGGCUAACUACGUG